GGCUUAAUUAGACUCAAUAAAAUCCUAAUCAAAUCAAGAAUUAACUAAACCUAACUCCUGAUCAAAUCAGGGACUAAACCACCUUAGCAAUUAGGUCAACAUUUAACCUAAUCGGGUCAAUCCAAACUGAAUCCAAUUCAAUUGGACUUGAUCCAAAAAUAAUUACUCAAUCAAAUUGAGUUAAUUAACAAUCAAAUCACUAAUUAAAUCUCUCAUAAAUAUUGAGUCCAAAUCCGAUGGGCAAUCAAGCAUCAGAGACCAUCGAUAUGAAACCCUGAUCAAAGAGUUCAAAUUUCAAAUUCAAAAUUUAAAAUUCAAAAUUUUGACCCCGGUACCCAAAAUGUGUAGAACUCAUGAUCAGAGAAUCCUAAUUCUCAAUCAUAGAGUUCCAGACACAUAAGACUCAUAAUCAGCCAUCUGAUCAGAAAGGAAUCACUAAUGUGUGUGACCCCGCAGGUUCGAACCUAAGCCGGUAGCACAGGAACCAAUUCCUAUACUAAUCGAAGUGACCAUCUAGCAAUGGUACCCGACGAUCGGAUAGGUCGAAUAAUCACAAUCGCAAUAUUCAGAACCUACGUGAAUAUGGUUACCGU
This 593-nucleotide long non-coding RNA is filed under the name Elaeis guineensis (African oil palm). RNAcentral's name for it is "long non-coding RNA (EGUI_LNC067471)". Lineage: Eukaryota; Viridiplantae; Streptophyta; Magnoliopsida; Arecales; Arecaceae. The record is from RNAcentral.